CCCAUUUCUAAAUUAGAUAAGAUGAAUAGUAAUUACAUGAUCUCUAGCUAGAUUCAACUAUAUAAACAACAUAAGAAAUUUCAUAUACCUCACAGCAAAUUCCUCACAGCAAAUUAACUUCAAAUAUAUAUCCUUUAGUUCUUCUUGUCUUUAGCCAGGGUACAAAAUAUGAAGGGUACAAUAGUUAUGAGGUUCAUUGUGGUUGUUUUAGUUAUGUUGGUGAUGACUUCUAGCUUGGCCACGAGCAGAAAAUUAAUCGACAAUAAAGAAGACGAUGAUAAUGGUGUUUGGCAGGAAGGAAGUACAAAUGUGAAUAAUCACCAUUAUAAACCUAGGCAAGACUUCAACAAUGGUGAUGGGGGCACUGUUCCUAAAGGAUCGAGGACAUGAUACAGAUCGAUGCUGGCAAGUUCUAAAGCUACUGAAUUAUGCGGAACAAAUAGCUUUCGGUUGCUCUUGAAGUUAGAUAAUUAAUGUAUAUGCUUGCACGGUUGUGUAUUUUAAGUGGUACCUAAAUAGAAAUAAUGAUAAACCUUCAUGGUUGUAGACUUGAAGUAGCUACUACUAGUAAAUAUGGUACUAACUUUAAUUUUCCUGUUUCUGUCUAAUAAUGUUGCAGUGGGAAGUGUUGUAAUUUUUAUGUUGAAGCUUUGUCUAUAAAGUGGUGGUAGUAGAAAUUUCAUGUGUGCUUAUGUUGUUUGUACUAAAUAAAAAGAAGCUUUGGUUAAUCAA
Long non-coding RNA from Lycium barbarum (goji berry), 732 nucleotides. RefSeq lists it as uncharacterized. The transcript has 2 exons. The record is from RefSeq and is a predicted model, not a curated record. Lineage: Eukaryota; Viridiplantae; Streptophyta; Magnoliopsida; Solanales; Solanaceae.